GAUGUAGGCGGGCCUGUAAGUCGGAUGUGAAAUCUGUAAGCUCAACUUGCAGACCGUGUCCGAUACUACUGGUCUUGAGCACGGGAGAGGAGAGUGGAACUCCCAGUGUAGCGGUGGAAUGCGUAGAUAUUGGGAGGAACACCAGUGGCGAAGGCGGCUCUCUGGCCCGUUGCUGACGCUGAGGUCCGAAAGCUGGGGGAGCGAACA
This 207-nucleotide ribosomal RNA is filed under the name uncultured bacterium. RNAcentral's name for it is "partial 16S ribosomal RNA". It matches the Rfam family "Bacterial small subunit ribosomal RNA", at positions 568 to 774 of the family's 1533-position model. The record is from RNAcentral.